This 434-nucleotide ribosomal RNA is filed under the name uncultured Lachnospiraceae bacterium. Its description in RNAcentral is "partial 16S ribosomal RNA". It matches the Rfam family "Bacterial small subunit ribosomal RNA", at positions 341 to 792 of the family's 1533-position model. Lineage: Bacteria; Bacillati; Bacillota; Clostridia; Lachnospirales; Lachnospiraceae. The record is from RNAcentral.
ACGGGAGGCAGCAGUGGGGAAUAUUGCACAAUGGGGGAAACCCUGAUGCAGCGACGCCGCGUGAGUGAAGAAGUAUUUCGGUAUGUAAAGCUCUAUCAGCAGGGAAGAAAAUGACGGUACCUGACUAAGAAGCACCGGCUAAAUACGUGCCAGCAGCCGCGGUAAUACGUAUGGUGCAAGCGUUAUCCGGAUUUACUGGGUGUAAAGGGAGCGUAGACGGCGAGGCAAGUCUGAAGUGAAAUGCGGGGGCUCAACCCCUGAACUGCUUUGGAAACUGUUUUGCUAGAGUGCAGGAGAGGUAAGUGGAAUUCCUAGUGUAGCGGUGAAAUGCGUAGGUAUUAGGAGGAACACCGGCGGCGAAGGCGGCUUACUGGACUGUAACUGACGUUGAGGCUCGAAAGCGUGGGGAGCAAACAGGAUUAGAUACCCUGGUA